GCGCCUGUAGCUCAGCGGACAGAGCGGCGGCCUUCUAAGCCGCGGGUCGGAGGUUCGAAUCCUCCCAGGCGCA
This 73-nucleotide transfer RNA is filed under the name Actinobacteria bacterium 13_1_20CM_4_69_9. RNAcentral's name for it is "tRNA-Arg". It matches the Rfam family "tRNA". Rfam says of the family: Transfer RNA (tRNA) molecules are approximately 80 nucleotides in length. Their secondary structure includes four short double-helical elements and three loops (D, anti-codon, and T loops). The record is from RNAcentral. Lineage: Bacteria; Bacillati; Actinomycetota. RNAcentral also lists the same sequence under 3 other names.